This 497-nucleotide ribosomal RNA is filed under the name uncultured bacterium. RNAcentral's name for it is "partial 16S ribosomal RNA". It matches the Rfam family "Bacterial small subunit ribosomal RNA", at positions 28 to 507 of the family's 1533-position model. The record is from RNAcentral.
GAUGAACGCUGGCGGCGUGCCUAAUACAUGCAAGUCGAGCGAACAGAUGAGGAGCUUGCUCCUCUGACGUUAGCGGCGGACGGGUGAGUAACACGUGGAUAACCUACCUAUAAGACUGGGAUAACUUCGGGAAACCGGAGCUAAUACCGAAUAAUAUAUUGAACCGCAUGGUUCAAUAGUGAAAGAAGGUUUUGCUGUCACUUAUAGAUGGAUCCGCUCAUCAUUAGCUAGUGGGUAAGGUAAAGGCUUACCAAGGCGACGAUGCGUAGCCGACCUGAGAGGGUGAUCGGCCACACUGGAACUGAGACACGUUCCAGACUCCUACGGGAGGCAGCAGUAGGGAAUCUUCCGCAAUGGGCGAAAGCCUGACGUAGCAACGCCGCGUGAGUGAUGAAGGUCUUCGGAUUGUAAAACUCUGUUAUUAGGGAAGAACAAAUGUGUAAGUAACUAUGCACGUCUUGACGGUACCUAAUCAGAAAGCCACGGCUAACUACGUG